AAUAGUAAUGAUUUCCGAGUUAACCGGCCUUAGGCAAUGGCGAUGGCAGUUAACCUGCAGGGUAUAAAUGGAAACGUUUAUGCCUCCCUUUUGGAAAGGAAAUCAUACCUUGUGUGG
Molecule: non-coding RNA, 117 nt
Filed under: Desulfoscipio gibsoniae
Lineage: Bacteria; Bacillati; Bacillota; Clostridia; Eubacteriales; Desulfallaceae
Also listed under: 1 other name
Description: Desulfotomaculum gibsoniae MoCo sequence
Rfam family: Molybdenum/Tungsten riboswitch aptamer (Moco RNA motif)
Source: RNAcentral